RNAcentral lists this long non-coding RNA (4014 nucleotides) under Patiria miniata (bat star). Its description in RNAcentral is "uncharacterized LOC119728310". Lineage: Eukaryota; Metazoa; Echinodermata; Asteroidea; Valvatida; Asterinidae. The record is from RNAcentral.
AAAAAAAUAUACCACGUGCAAUUACUGGAGGAGUGAAACCAACCGUGUAUUGGCUUUCCGCGUGUUAGGAGCUCGAACUAACGAAUACCGGAACGUCCACCCUCCAUGAGAGCGGCAGAUUUGACUAAGGAUUAUUCAACGUGUUUUUACCUCAAAUGGACACAUUCUUCAACAAGAUCGACUUCAUAGCAAUAAAGGUCUGUUAGACUUUGCUUUCGUCAAGCUGCUUCCUUGGGAUAAAACCCCUGCAAAUUGCAUACAGCAUGGAUUGCAUUAAAAGAUUCUUUGACCCAGCACCACCCUGGCAGCUGAAACCAGCAUGAUGUUGUCCUCAAGAAAACCAGCACAGCACGCCACCAUUACUCGGUGAACUCCAAGCUACUGAAAUCUUCACUUGAUCUGAUGAGGUACACGAAAUCAGAGAACCCUCAGCACUCACCGUGACUGAUUCCUGUAAUUCAACCAGUGUGAGACGAACAGGAAUUCUCUCUUGUUGGAUGCCACUCAGCGACACUGAUCACUUCUUAGAUGCUCUCCUGAACAAGUUGGAUCUGCAUUGACUGUGUGAGAUUCAUAAGCUACGCCACCACCACUAAGCAGGACUUGCAACAGAACAAUUGGACUUCCUACAAAAAGGAUUGCCUGGAGAUCUUGGCUUUCAAGCUCAGUGUGCCACAAGAUGAUUCAACGUCUGGCUAGUCAUCAGAAAAUGCGUCGAGUUGUGUUUUCUCCAUUUGAACAAUAAGCAACUCGAAGGAUAACCCAUCCUUGAGCCAUGUGCCUGCACGAGUCUCACCAAACUUUUGAAUAACUGCUGAGACAUCAUGCAUUGAGUAGUCAUGCACUAGACAUCAUGAGAUCACAUUUUAGCUCUGAACAGACUGACAGGAGUUCAUGAUGUGCCGGAGACUUGUUGAGGGAACGCUUUUGAAAAUGAACUCUUUCAAACAGAAAGUCUGUUGAAAUGAACUCUUUUGAAACAGAACUUAUCGGAAACAAAGCUUUGUCGAAAUGGAACUCUUGUUCAUGAACUCUGUUGAAGUUAAACUCUUUGAAAAGAAACUGUUGAAAGGAACUCUUUUGGAACAGAACUUGUUGGAAACAACUCUUUUGAAACGGAACUCUUUGGAGAUGGAACUCUUGUGAAAUCGACUCUUUGAAAUGGAACUUUCGUAAAAUGGAACUCUUUGAAAGGACAUUUUAUGCUCUAGAAGUAGAGGUCUCUCUUUCCUUGAGGUCACUUAAGGUCAUCAGAGGUCACCUCUGUGACCCCACGUAUGCAGAAGAGGUUGCCUUGGGUGACCACAAUUUGACAAAAAGUCUAGAAUCUUGAUAGGAAAGUGCAAUAAUGUUCGCUCAGUAUUUAAUGAUGGAAAGUAAUGCAGUCAUACACUUAGUGACAAGUUGGGACAAGAUCCCCAAAGUUAAUUUUCCAGAAACCUUCAAAAGAUGCUAUCUUUCUUUGCGGACCCACAAUUGAUGGCAGACUUAGUUGAGAUCAAACCAAACCAAAUCAAACCAAAUCAUAAAAUGUGACAAUGGAAGAGAGGCCUUUACAUACCACACGUAACCAGCUCCUCUCCGUAAACUCAAGGCAUAUCAUAGAAUUGAUAUGUCUUUGAUUUGAUUCAGUAAGUCCACUAAUUUGCUCGGAUCAAUCGUUUCAAAUCACUAGGAAAAAACUUUCAACAAGCAGUCAAACUGAUGAGAGUGCUGCAUUAUAUUUUUCUAAUUUUCUGAUACAUGUACUGUACAUGUAUGCAGCUUCUUAUAGGCAGAUUUUUGUACUCGGUAUUCACUAAAGCUGAAGGCUGCGCAAUUCUCCAUGUUCUUGCAGAAAAAAAUCUCUUCAGAGAACCUUGAUGAUGCAUCUGCGUGCAUAUGGAGAAAGAGAGCUGGUUACGUCAAUUGAAUUGAUAUUUUAAUUUGACAUAUUUUUAUGGCAUUGCCUGAUUGGUAAUAGCUGGGUGCAAGAUUGGUUUAAAUUGAAACUUUUUUAGCAAAUUGUGUUUUAGUGAGUGUUUUCAGAAAUGUAUUACAUACUUUAUUUCAGACUUCUGACCACUGUUUGGUCCAAUUUAAAUCAAAUAAGUUUGAGAUAUGAACAAAAUCAAAAUUCUUACUCUCCAACUCGUGCACGGGAAAAAAACCCACAUAUCCAUGUUAAUUUUCAAUUUGGCAAACAAAAAUCAACCAAUGAACUUUUUGUUUAUGCUUUGGAAUUUCUGUCAACUCAUCUGAAAAGACUUUUCAAAAAAAAAAUUCUGUUGGUCAUAAUUUACCUGCCUACUAUCAGCAACCAUGCCAGUCUUGUACCCAGCUUUUGUUUUAUCAAGUAUAGUCAGCACUGGUCCAAUGUUUAACAGACAAACUUUGUCUGUGAAUGAAAGAAGUAAUUGCAAAUUGGUUUUAGUGUCACAUUUUCGAGAAAAAAAAUUGCUAAACCAAAAAUAGUCCAUUUCACAGUGAAAACACUGUUAAAAAUUCCAUCAAAAAAUCUUUCUUUUUCAAUAGUUUACAAGGUGUUUUUGUGGACACACCUUAGUUACAUGUAAAUACCUCAAGAAAUGCAGUCUUUUUGUCCAUUCCUCAUAAGCGGCGUAAACAAAUCCCAUUUGAAAUAAAAAAUUAGGUGGUACUAACACUGUUUAUUACAUGUACUUGCUAAACACCAAUUUUAAAUUUUGCCACAAAAAGGAAAACAAAAAUUUAUGUUCCAGUGCUGGCUGUACAUGUUCAUGUGAAAAAAACUUGAUAAUUUUUUUGAGUAACCCAUUCAUUACUUGACAUUUGACCAACAGGCAAUGUUCUGAUACACUUGAGCCCAACGCAUGCAAGUCCCCCCGGGGCGUGCACGUGUGGUGUUCCCCGCCCGCAGAUGCCGGCUCGUCUGGUGGGUCGUCCCUAUCUGCAUUGACGAUUGGUCUUUUGGUCAAGGUGUGUGCUUGCUUCCUGAUCUUGUGGUCUGGAUGAUCGUGGAUGACUUGGUCGACUUCAACAUGGUAAGGAUCCUUUUGAACUUUGACAAUUAGUUUGCCUUUCUGCAAAGGAGAUGUAUUUUUGGCCGUUUCCUACCGAGUGUUGCUGUGGAAGUUAUGUACCAUCUAUCACUCUGGAGAUUGCAAAUCUAGAGAUCAAUCGAGCAUCUACUCUUGAUGUCUUACUUGCAUUUCGUUAGUUCCAUGGCAUCAUGUUGAUCCAAAUGAUCUGCUAACAAAUGGAUACUGUUGUUGGUAUCUCUGAUGUUCUUCAAUGCGGUUUGAUUUUCGGACAGGUGUUUCAGCCGCUAUUUAUGUGAAUAACUUCCAUGGUAUAACUCUGAAAUCUCACUGCCUUUUAUUGUGUCAUCAUGUACAAUCAGUUCUCUCAUAGAGUGUGUUCUAAUCUAGACAUGCACGAAUAAACAUAAGGAAAUUACUUCAAGGAAAUCAGUUAAAAUUAACUGAACAGGUCAAAUCUGCUCUAAAUACAGUAUCUGAUGCAUAACUUAAAAAUUGUGUUUGCAAAUAAUAUUUGUCUUUUUGUCAGCACAAGAUUCUUAACAUAAACCUGAAAGUACAGACCAAUUUUUGGGCUAAAUUUAAAAAAAAAACAUUUGUGUGUUUGGCAGCACAUAAAGCACGAGUUGAUAAACCGAAAAAUAGUGACCAAACGUUUUAUUCAAUAUCAAAAAGGCAGCUUCCUUGCCUUGGAUAAUCUCUGUAUAAAGUCAGUCAAAAUUCUAAAUUCUAGUUUUCAUUGUUAAAAAAGUAAGUCCUGAUUUCAAAGCAACCCUAUCAAAAGCAUUUAAAAAUUCAGAUUCCAGAAACAAUAAGGAACAUGAAAUCAAUGAAUGGGCCAGUGCCAUCAUUUUUAUCAUCAGAAAAGCUGUUGAAAAACUAACAUUAGGAAGUAAAUUUUAGGAAAGAAGAAAAAGGAGAGAAGGCCAAACUCUUCAUAUUGUAGGGGAGAAGUCCUGGUGUGCAGAGGGGGAGAACCAUGCUGCUUCCUGGCCAGAUGGAAGAUGUGGUGGAC